AGUCGAACAGCAGCACGGACUUCGGUCAGGCGAGGUAUGAACGGGUGAGUAAUGUAUCGGAACGUGCCUAGUAGCGGGGGAUAACUACGCGAAAGCGUAGCUAAUACCGGGCCGCCCUUCGGGGGAAAAGUGGGGACCUUCGGGCCUCGCACUAUUGUAUGGUGGCCGAUAAUGAUUAGCUAGUUGGUGGGGUAACGGCUCACCAAGGCGACGAUCCGUAGCUGGUUUGAGAGGACGACCAGCCACACUGGGACUGAGACACGCUCCAGACUACGGGAGGCAGCAGCGGGGAAUUCUUGGACAAUGGGAAACCCUGAUCCAGCCAUCCUGCGUGUGCGAUGAAGGCCUCGGGUUGUAAAGCACUUUGGCAGUGGGGAAAGAAACGGCACGGGAUAAUACCCCGUGCAACUGACGGUACCUGCAGACAAGCACCGCCAACUACGCCACAGCAGCCGCGGUAAUACGUAGGGUGCAAGCGUUAAUCGGAAUUACUGGGCGUAAAGCGUGCGCAGGCGGUUCGGAAAGAAAGAUGAACCCAGAGCUUAACUUUGGAACUGGCAUUUUUAACUACCGAGCUAGAUGUGUCAGAGGGAGGUGGAAUUCCGCGGUAGCAGUGAACGCGGAUAUGCGGAGGAACGAUGGCUAAAGGCAGCCUUCGGGAUAACACUGACGCUCAGCGCACGAAAGCGUGGGAGCAAAAUUGCGGAUUAGAUAAUUCUGGUAGUCCACGCUCUAAACGAUGUCAACUAGCUGUUGGGGGCCUUUCGCCUUGGUAGCGCAGCUAACGGGCGGUGAAGUUGACCGCCUGGGGAGUACGGUCGCAAGAUUAAAACUCAAAGGAAUUGACGGGACCUGCACAAGCGGUGGAUGAUGUGGAUUAAUUCGAUGCAACGCGAAAAACUCACUCUACCUUGACAUGUCUGGAAUCCCGAAGAGAUUUCGGGAGUUCGCAAGAGAACCGGAACACAGGUGCUGAAAAGGUCAGUCGUCAGCUCGCCGAGAUGUUAGGUUAAGUCCCGCAACGAGCGCAACCCUUCUUGUCAUUAAUACGCUGAAAGGGCACUCUAAUGACUGCCGGUGACAAACCGAGGAAGUGGGGAUGACGUCAAGUCCUCAUGGCCCUUAUGGGUAGUCAUACGCCGGUACAAUGGUCGGGACAGAGGGUCGCCAACCCGCGAGGGGGAGCCAAUCCCAGAAACCCGAUCGUAGUCCGGAUCGCAGUCUGCAACUCGACUGCGUGAAGUCGGAAUCGCUAGUAAUCGCGGAUCGCAGGUUGCAGGUGAAUACGUUCCCGGGUCUUGUACACACCGCCCGUCACACUAUGGAGUGAAGCUCUUACCAGAAGUAGUUAGCCCAACCGUAAGGAGAGGGCGAUUACCGGUAGGGGGAUUCAUGACUGGGGUGAAGUCACGUAACAAGGUAA
Molecule: ribosomal RNA, 1423 nt
Filed under: uncultured Bordetella sp.
Lineage: Bacteria; Pseudomonadati; Pseudomonadota; Betaproteobacteria; Burkholderiales; Alcaligenaceae
Description: partial 16S-23S ribosomal RNA intergenic spacer
Rfam family: Bacterial small subunit ribosomal RNA
Source: RNAcentral